This 85-nucleotide transfer RNA is filed under the name bacterium. RNAcentral's name for it is "tRNA-Leu". It matches the Rfam family "tRNA". From Rfam's summary of the family: Transfer RNA (tRNA) molecules are approximately 80 nucleotides in length. Their secondary structure includes four short double-helical elements and three loops (D, anti-codon, and T loops). The record is from RNAcentral.
GCCUCGGUGGUGGAAUUGGUAGACACGCCGGACUUAAAAUCCUGUGGGCUGAAUGUCCGUGCCGGUUCGAUUCCGGCUCGAGGUA